Long non-coding RNA from Orcinus orca (killer whale), 840 nucleotides. RefSeq lists it as uncharacterized. The record is from RefSeq and is a predicted model, not a curated record. The transcript is spliced from 3 exons. Lineage: Eukaryota; Metazoa; Chordata; Mammalia; Artiodactyla; Delphinidae.
GCUACCUCAUUUGUGCCGCCCUGAGGUUAAAUGAGAAAGGGAACGUGCUGGAGCAAUGUCAACGAUGUUUUCGUUUCUCUAGGUAUCGCUGCUGUCCUCAGCUCUCCUGGAUCUUCCGCCCACCCUGCCCAGGGCCUCUUCUCCAUACUAAUUCUUGGUGGAGCAGUCGGGGCGGCUUUACAGGGGCAUCCUCAGCUACACCUUUCGUCAUAAGGAACGUAUGUGCAUUGAUGGAGCUCACCUAGUGCCAAGAGAGCGGCAAAAGGCAUUGAAAUAAGAAGCAACUUCCUGCCAGCGGCAAGUACCUCUUGGUGGAGGUUGGAGCCAUGUCGAUGCUGCCCUACUUGUCGAGGCCGGCGUGUGCUGACGGCACAGGGACUGACACUCUGGGCUCACAGCCCACAUGGAGCCAAGGGGGGAGGCUCUUUCGCUGAGGUGCCCAUGGUGACAUCAGAAGCUUGCUCCUCAGCUAACACCAGGAAGGCCAUGCAUGUGAGCAGCCCGGCUUCUGAACCUGAUCCUGGCGUUGGUUAGACUCACCGGAUAAUAAAGAAAAAUGGGACUCUCUCUAGGGGACUCUUUUUUUUUUUUGGUAAGCUGGGGCAUCUCUAAGGACAGUGUUUGGCACAAAAUGAAACACUCUCUGGGCUUUUCAGAAGUGCUUUUUCACAUCUGUUUUGCUCUAAGUGGAACGCAUUCGAAGUAUAUUACUUUCUUGAACAUUUUGUCCCCCUGCUCGAGUGGAGUGUGUCUGCCUCUUGAUACUUCCAAAUCCCCUCGAUGACCAGUGCCAGGAGCCCCUGAAAUCAGGUCUCAUUCUCUCUCUUCCCCUCUCGACCU